GAUGAAGAACGCAGCGAAAUGCGAUAAGUAGUGUGAAUUGCAGAAUUCAGUGAAUCAUCGAAUUUUUGAACGCACAUUGCGCCCCUUGGUAUUCCAUGGGGCAUGCCUGUUCGAGCGUCAUUUGUACCUUCAAGCUUUGCUUGGUGUUGGGUGUUUGUCCCGAGGGACUCGCCUUAAAGUAAUUGGCAGCCAGUGUUUGGUUUUGAAGCGCAGCACAAGUCGCGAUUCAAGGCUACACGCCCGCUUCCACAAGCCUUUUUUCACUUUUGACCUCGGAUCAGGUAGGGAUACCCGCUGAACUUAAGCAUAUCAAUAAGCGGAGGA
This 324-nucleotide unclassified non-coding RNA is filed under the name soil metagenome. RNAcentral's name for it is "partial contains 5.8S ribosomal RNA, internal transcribed spacer 2, and large subunit ribosomal RNA". The stretch from base 1 to 120 matches the Rfam family "5.8S ribosomal RNA", at positions 35 to 154 of the family's 154-position model. The record is from RNAcentral.